GAGGUUCGCGCUGGUGGAGCACCCCAGCUUGCAGGUUCAGCGUGGGUAUCUCUCCCAGGCACAUCGAGCUGUCUAGAGGAACCCCUCUUCCCCCGGCUUCACGGCCUAGAGGACGCACGGCUCUCUCCCCUCGAGAGCCUGUUCCGUCGCCCGCGCGGGGAACGCGAAGUGCUAGGGUAGUCACGGCCACUUCACGCCGAGGGACAUCUCAUCUCGCCCUCCAGGUCGUGAGCGUACCCAUUCCGCUCACUGAGGCCGAAAGCUUUGGACCUCUGUGGGCCCUGAGACUUCAGAGUUCCAUGUCUGCUGUGCUGUGGAACCCAGAGUGCUCUUGCCUGGAUGGCUGAGAAUCCCUUGGACCCUGGAAGCACCUACUCCAUGAUGGCCCGCAGGAGGACCAAACUGGAGACAGUCCUGGCUCUGAGAAACAGGAAGGAAGGAGGGUGAAAGGAAGGUCCACCUGCACACAAAGGAAAGAUGAAAAAGAAUCACCUACCAUGGGAGCUGGCAAAGUACUUCAGAACUUUUAUUCCUUCCAGAAGCAGUGUAUCACGAUAGAUUGAAUCAAGAAGUGACAUUAAGGCCGGCACAGUGGCUCACGCCUGUAAUCCCAACACUUUGGGAGGCCGAGGCAGGCGGAUCACAAGAUCAGGAGAUCAAGACCAUCCUGGCUAACAUGGUGAAAC
This 686-nucleotide non-coding RNA is filed under the name Pongo abelii (Sumatran orangutan). The record is from RNAcentral. Lineage: Eukaryota; Metazoa; Chordata; Mammalia; Primates; Hominidae.